This 328-nucleotide unclassified non-coding RNA is filed under the name soil metagenome. Its description in RNAcentral is "partial contains 5.8S ribosomal RNA, internal transcribed spacer 2, and large subunit ribosomal RNA". The stretch from base 1 to 120 matches the Rfam family "5.8S ribosomal RNA", at positions 35 to 154 of the family's 154-position model. The record is from RNAcentral.
GAUGAAGAACGCAGCGAAAUGCGAUAAGUAAUGUGAAUUGCAGAAUUCAGUGAAUCAUCGAAUCUUUGAACGCACAUUGCGCCCAUUGGUAUUCCAAUGGGCAUGCCUGUUCGAGCGUCAUUUGUACCCUCAAGCUUUGCUUGGUGUUGGGCGUUUGUCUUUCGAGACUCGCCUUAAAAAGAUUGGCAGCCGGCAUACUGGUUUCGGAGCGCAGCACAAAUUGCGGUCUGUUCCUGAAUGUUGACGUCCAUGAAGCCCCCAUUAUCACUUUUGACCUCGGAUCAGGUAGGGAUACCCGCUGAACUUAAGCAUAUCAAUAAGCGGAGGA